Molecule: long non-coding RNA, 125 nt
Organism: Thalassophryne amazonica
Lineage: Eukaryota; Metazoa; Chordata; Actinopteri; Batrachoidiformes; Batrachoididae
Exons: 3
Source: RefSeq, a predicted model, not a curated record
CUGUACUUCUUCUAUGCUGUACUUUCUACAACUGUAUGUGGUGCUUCCCCCAGUGGUGAACAAAAGGCCAGCAGAGGCAGCGCCAAUGUACUGUAGCAUAGUAGUCAAUUUCAUAUAGGUCCUUU